RNAcentral lists this ribosomal RNA (253 nucleotides) under uncultured bacterium. Its description in RNAcentral is "partial 16S ribosomal RNA". It matches the Rfam family "Bacterial small subunit ribosomal RNA", at positions 524 to 776 of the family's 1533-position model. The record is from RNAcentral.
UACGGAGGAUCCAAGCGUUAUCCGGAUUUAUUGGGUUUAAAGGGUGCGUAGGCGGCCAAUUAAGUCAGGGGUGAAAGACGGUAGCUUAACUAUCGCAGUGCCUUUGAUACUGAUUGGCUUGAAUGAACUAGAGGUAGGCGGAAUGUGACAAGUAGCGGUGAAAUGCAUAGAUAUGUCACAGAACACCAAUUGCGAAGGCAGCUUACUAUGGUUUAAUUGACGCUGAGGCACGAAAGCGUGGGGAUCAAACAGG